RNAcentral lists this long non-coding RNA (773 nucleotides) under Anser brachyrhynchus (Pink-footed goose). Its description in RNAcentral is "lncRNA (ENSABRG00000011948.1)". The record is from RNAcentral. Lineage: Eukaryota; Metazoa; Chordata; Aves; Anseriformes; Anatidae.
ACUAAAUUUAUGUAAGGUAUAUUUAAAAGCUUAAACCUAUUUUUAAGCAACUGACUAAUUCCACACCCCCCCCCCCCCCAUACUGUGUUUAGGAUAUAGGUCUAGCUAAGUGAUUAAUCUGUCUUCUUGAAUAAUGCCAAAAACGUUGCAUCAGCAUGAGAGGAUCUAACCUUUGAAAAAUUCCCCCAGGAGCAUCCAUUUCUGCUGGGGAUUUUGCUGCCAGCCAGAGCAGUUAAUAAAAAAGGGAAAGCCAAUAACACUGCCAGAAAUUUUUGCCAUAUGAAAGUCAGAGAAUCAGUUAGAGGCUGUCAAAUGUAAUGUAUGAUAUUAUUAAUAAGGAGAAUUCAAGAUCCAAAUGGGGCUUUUUGUCCCAGAGAUUGGGUCAUGCGGAAGCGGCUGAGGAAAUAGUGAGUCUCCAGGUGGAACUUCCAGUGGGACAGCGUUGGAGCAGACUUCUCAAAGCCAUUUAUUUUAUCAUUUCAGGAGGAUCAGUGAGGAGAAAAUCAUAGAAUCAUAGAAUGGUUCACUGAAUGAAAGACAGCAGAGGAGAUAUUCCAGCUGGAGGGUGGGGUGCCCACUGGGCAUGUUUCAACCUUUGGUCUCUGAGGACCUCAAGAUGUGGACACCUUUCCUUCCUGGUCAGCAAUGUGGGCUGGGGACACUCAGAAGACAUCAAGGAACAAGAUGUUACACACCAAAAUCAUCAGUUCACAUCAUGCAGAAAUUCGCAGUGCCUGAGAAGAAUUAAUUACACAGUCAUCAUGUUUCCGUAA